GGGGGCGUUUUGGAUUCGACGCCGGUUACAAAACCCAAGGUGCAUGCCGAGAUGGUGACUAAUCUCGUAAAUCCAAAGUCGCAAACUAUUAGUUGCCAACGACGACAACUACGCACUCGCC
RNAcentral lists this small RNA (121 nucleotides) under uncultured Chlorophyceae. RNAcentral describes it as "partial transfer-messenger RNA". It matches the Rfam family "transfer-messenger RNA", at positions 1 to 122 of the family's 374-position model. From Rfam's summary of the family: Bacterial tmRNA, also known as 10Sa RNA or SsrA, is named for its dual tRNA and mRNA-like properties. Its role is to liberate the mRNA from a stalled ribosome. To accomplish this part of the tmRNA is used as a reading frame that ends in a translation stop signal. Lineage: Eukaryota; Viridiplantae; Chlorophyta; Chlorophyceae. The record is from RNAcentral.